UCGCUGGGUGCUUUGCUGGUGGGCUGGGGCUUCAAGAGUUCCAUGAGGUCUCCUCGGAAUCGAAAGGGGCGGUUCAGUUCUGCGUCAGCGGA
This 92-nucleotide transfer RNA is filed under the name Rhodococcus erythropolis. RNAcentral describes it as "tRNA-Leu(caa)". Lineage: Bacteria; Bacillati; Actinomycetota; Actinomycetes; Mycobacteriales; Nocardiaceae. The record is from RNAcentral.